This 2205-nucleotide ribosomal RNA is filed under the name Triticum aestivum (bread wheat). RNAcentral describes it as "partial small subunit ribosomal RNA". The record is from RNAcentral. Lineage: Eukaryota; Viridiplantae; Streptophyta; Magnoliopsida; Poales; Poaceae.
AUGGACAUCUCGUCGUUCGUCACGUCGCUUCUGACGUCCUUCGUCAUCUUCGCCGUGCUGGUCCUGGUGUUCACGUGGCUCUCGCGCCGCCCGGGGAACGCGCCGGUGUACUACCCGAGCGUGCUGCUGCGGGGGCUCGACCCGUGGGAGGGGCGCGGGCGGGGCACGCGCAGCCCCGUCGGCUGGAUCCGCCAAGCGUUCGCGGCGUCCGAGGCCGACGUCGUUGCCGCCAGCGGAGUCGACGCCGCCGUCUACCUCGUCUUCCUCUCAUCCGUUUUGGCAAUCCUUGCGUUUUCCGGGAUUGUGUUGCUUCCAGUUCUGUUACCAGUUGCUGGAACUGAUCAUGCCCUGGAGGAUUCUACUGGCAGAGUGCCGCGGAAUGUCACAGAUUUUGAAAGAUUAGCAUUGGGCAAUGUUCAAGACGGAAGUGCGAGGCUGUGGGCAUUUAUAUUUGCAGUCUAUUGGGUCUCCUUUGUCACCUAUUUCAUACUAUGGAGAUCCUACAAGCAUGUUUCAAAUCUGAGAGCAGCGGCAAGAUCAACAUCAGACGUUAAACCAGAGGAGUUUGCCAUGUUGGUGAGAGAUGUUCCUGUUCCACCUCCUAAUCAAACUAUAAAGGACUCGGUGGACUCGUAUUUCCGAGCACUUCAUCCUGACACAUUCUACAAAGCAAUGGUUGUGACAGACAUCACGAAGGCUGAUAAAAUUUUCCAAGAGAUUGAAGGUCACAAACACAAAAUUGCUCAUGCUGAAGCUGUCUAUGCAGAGUCAAAAAUAGCAAACAGACCUGAGGGCACGAGGCCUACUCAUAGGACGGGAUUCCUUGGCCUUAUCGGUAAAAAGGUUGACACGCUUGAGUAUUGUAAUGAGAAGAUUAAGGAAUUGCUGCCCAAACUGGAGGAUGAACAGAAGAGCACCCUUAGUGAGAAACAGCAAAGGGCGGCCUUUGUCUUCUUCAACAGCAGAGCUGCCGCUGCCUCUGCAUCUCAGACUCUCCAUGCUCAGAUGUUUGAUGAAUGGACAGUUACAGAAGCUCCUGAACCACGUGCUGUAAUAUGGACCAAUCUUCCAAGGAAAAUAUAUGAUAGGCAAACCAGACAGACUGUGGUCUACCUCAUUGUCUUCGUCACCGUGGUUUUUUAUAUGAUUCCCAUUACUGCUAUCUCUGCUGUUACAACGCUGGAACAACUGAGGAAGAAGCUGCCCUUUCUGAAGGUGGUUGUGGACCAACCUUUACUUAAGACAGUCUUACAAGCUUACCUGCCACAGAUCGCCCUCAUUGUUUUCCUUGCUUUGCUGCCAACACUUCUUGUGUUCCUGUCAAAGUCAGAAGGAAUUCCUUCACAGAGCCAUGUAGUAAGGGCAUCAUCAGGAAAAUAUUUCUACUUUAUUGUCUUCAAUGUAUUCAUUGGCUAUGCAAUUGGUUCCUCAUUGUUCAGCGCUUUGCAAAAAGUCAUCGAGAACCCUACUGGGAUUGUUACGACGCUUGGCUCCAGGCUUCCUGGAAAUGCAACUUUCUUCCUCACAUUUGUUGCACUGAAAUUCUUUGUUGGAUAUGGGCUUGAGCUCUCUCGUUUGGUCCCCCUCAUCAUUUUCCACCUGAAAAGAAAGUACCUAUGCAAGACAGAGGAUGAGGUGAGAGCGGCAUGGGCUCCAGGAGACCUGGGGUAUAACACGCGGGUUCCGAAUGACUUGCUUAUCGUGACACUUGUGAUGUGCUACUCCGUCAUCGCGCCUUUGAUUUUGCCAUUUGGCGUUGCUUACUUUGCUCUGGGUUGGCUUAUAGCAAAAAACCAGGUGAGCAAGAUUUUUAUUUACGAAAAUGUUCUGAGAGUUUAUGUUCCUAUUUAUGAGAGCAACGGACGAAUGUGGCCACACAUGCACACAAGGAUCAUUGCAGCUCUCAUGAUUUACCAGGCAACCAUGCUUGGUAUCAUCGGCCUGAAGAGGUUCUACUAUUCUACUAUCCUUGCCCCACUCCUCGCAAUAAGCUUAAUCUUUGCCUACACUUGCCAUACACGCUUUUAUCCUGCAUUCGCCAAAACCCCUCUUGAGGUGGCAAGUCAGCAGCUGAAAGAGACGCCGAACAUGAGCACCAUUUACACCGCUUACAUCCCUGCUUGCCUCAAGCCCGAGAAGCUCGAAGAUGUGGAAGUCUUUGAAGACGCGCAGUCACGCACCACCUCCAGAGCUCCCUCUUUUUAA